GGGGAAUAUUGGGCAAUGGGCGCAAGCCUGACCCAGCAACGCCGCGUGAAGGAAGAAGGCUUUCGGGUUGUAAACUUCUUUUGGCAGGGACGAAGAAAGUGACGGUACCUGCAGAAUAAGCUCCGGCUAACUACGUGCCAGCAGCCGCGGUAAUACGUAGGGAGCGAGCGUUAUCCGGAUUUACUGGGUGUAAAGGGCGCGUAGGCGGGAAUGCAAGUCAGAUGUGAAAUCUCCGGGCUCAACCCGGAAACUGCAUUUGAAACUGUAUUUCUUGAGUGAUGGAGAGGCAAGCGGAAUUCCUAGUGUAGCGGUGAAAUGCGUAGAUAUUAGGAGGAACACCAGUGGCGAAGGCGGCUUGCUGGACAUUAACUGACGCUGAGGCGCGAAAGCGUGGGGAGCAAAC
RNAcentral lists this ribosomal RNA (403 nucleotides) under uncultured bacterium. RNAcentral describes it as "bacterial SSU rRNA". It matches the Rfam family "Bacterial small subunit ribosomal RNA", at positions 356 to 773 of the family's 1533-position model. The record is from RNAcentral.